GAUGAACGCUGGCGGCGUGCUUAACACAUGCAAGUCGAACGGAAAGGCUCCUGCUUGCAGGGGUACUCGAGUGGCGAACGGGUGAGUAACACGGGGGUGAUCUGCCCUGCACUUCGGGAUAAGCGUGGGAAACUGGGUCUAAUACCGGAUAGGACCGCAGUGUGGCUGGGGUGGUGGAAAGUUUUUUCGGUGUGGGAUGAGCUCGCGGCCUAUCAGCUUGUUGGUGGGGUAAUGGCCUACCAAGGCGUCGACGGGUAGCCGGCCUGAGAGGGUGUACGGCCACAUUGGGACUGAGAUACGGCCCAGACUCCUACGGGAGGCAGCAGUGGGGAAUAUUGCACAAUGGGCGCAAGCCUGAUGCAGCGACGCCGCGUGGGGGAUGACGGCCUUCGGGUUGUAAACUCCUUUCGCUAGGGACGAAGAGUAAUUGACGGUACCUGGAGAAGAAGCACCGGCUAACUACGUG
Molecule: ribosomal RNA, 466 nt
Filed under: uncultured bacterium
Lineage: Bacteria
Description: partial 16S ribosomal RNA
Rfam family: Bacterial small subunit ribosomal RNA
Source: RNAcentral